RNAcentral lists this ribosomal RNA (567 nucleotides) under Wilcoxina rehmii. RNAcentral describes it as "eukaryotic LSU rRNA". The stretch from base 195 to 348 matches the Rfam family "5.8S ribosomal RNA". Lineage: Eukaryota; Fungi; Ascomycota; Pezizomycetes; Pezizales; Pyronemataceae. The record is from RNAcentral.
AUUAACAGGUAUAUAGUUAUACAUUCUGUGUAUCGACUAAAUAUACCCAUUCUGAGUACCUUGCCUGUUGCUUCCAUGGAGCCUGACACAUGUCACUCUGGGGAUUUACAUCCCGAGGGAGCCUCCGUGGAAGGUAAUCAAUUAACUCUUGAAUCCAAUGUCAUCUGUCUGAUAAUGUUUAUAACAAAUGUUAAAACUUUCAACAACGGAUCUCUUGGUUCUCGCAUCGAUGAAGAACGCAGCGAAAUGCGAUAAGUAGUGUGAAUUGCAGAAUUCAGUGAAUCAUCGAAUCUUUGAACGCACAUUGCGCCUCCUGGUAUUCCGGGAGGCAUGCCUGUUCGAGCGUCAUUAAAUACCACUCAAGCUCUUCUGCUUGGUCAUGGAAGAAGAGAAUGCUUGCAUCCUCUCUUCUGAAAUCGAACGGCGGACUGCCUCAUGUGCCUCGCGUAGUAAGUUCAUCUUUUCGCUUGGAGUGUGAGAUAGUCUCGCCAUCAACCCCCAUACUUCUAAGGUUGACCUCGGAUCAGGUAGGGAUACCCGCUGAACUUAAGCAUAUCAAUAAGCGGA